GAUGAACGCUGGCGGCGUGCCUAAUACAUGCAAGUCGAGCGAACAGACGAGGAGCUUGCUCCUUCGACGUUAGCGGCGGACGGGUGAGUAACACGUAGGUAACCUACCUAUAAGACUGGGAUAACUUCGGGAAACCGGAGCUAAUACCGGAUAAUAUUUCGAACCGCAUGGUUCGAUAGUGAAAGAUGGCUUUGCUAUCACUUAUAGAUGGACCUGCGCCGUAUUAGCUAGUUGGUAAGGUAACGGCAUACCAAGGCAACGAUACGUAGCCGACCUGAGAGGGUGAUCGGCCACACUGGAACUGAGACACGGUCCAGACUCCUACGGGAGGCAGCAGUAGGGAAUCUUCCGCAAUGGGCGAAAGCCUGACGGAGCAACGCCGCGUGAGUGAUGAAGGUCUUCGGAUCGUAAAACUCUGUUAUUAGGGAAGAACAAACGUGUAAGUAACUGUGCACGUCUUGACGGUACCUAAUCAGAAAGCCACGGCUAACUACGUG
Molecule: ribosomal RNA, 497 nt
Filed under: uncultured bacterium
Lineage: Bacteria
Description: partial 16S ribosomal RNA
Rfam family: Bacterial small subunit ribosomal RNA
Source: RNAcentral